Molecule: ribosomal RNA, 447 nt
Filed under: uncultured Glomeromycotina
Lineage: Eukaryota; Fungi; Glomeromycota
Description: SSU rRNA
Rfam family: Eukaryotic small subunit ribosomal RNA
Source: RNAcentral
AGCAGCCGCGGUAAUUCCAGCUCCAAUAGCGUAUAUUAAAGUUGUUGCAGUUAAAAAGCUCGUAGUUGAAUUUCGGGACUAAUAUGUCGGUCGUACUUUGUAUGUACUAGCAUUAUUGGUUUCUCCCUUCUGACGAACCACGAUGUCAUUAAUUUGGUGUCAUGGGAAAUCAGGACUGUUACUUUGAAAAAUUAGAGUGUUUAAAGCAAGCUCGCGCUUGAAUACAUUAGCAUGGAAUAAUAAAAUAGGACGUUUGAUUCUAUUUUGUUGGUUUCUAGGAUCGACGUAAUGAUUAAUAGGGAUAGUUGGGGGCAUUAGUAUUCAAUUGUCAGAGGUGAAAUUCUUGGAUUUAUUGAAGACUAACUACUGCGAAAGCAUUUGCCAAGGAUGUUUUCAUUAAUCAAGAACGAAAGUUAGGGGAUCGAAGACGAUCAGAUACCGUCGUAG